Long non-coding RNA from Daphnia carinata, 648 nucleotides. RefSeq lists it as uncharacterized. The transcript has 3 exons. NCBI's taxonomy places the organism in Eukaryota, Metazoa, Arthropoda, Branchiopoda, Diplostraca, Daphniidae. The record is from RefSeq and is a predicted model, not a curated record.
GAUUCGAGUAGUUGCACGAAAGCAUUUCUCUUACUUUAUUAAUGUUAUUGUGCUUGAAGUUGUGCCUUUUACUUAACAUUUAUUCGCAGAGUCAGUCCAGUAAAAUUGUUUAGACUUUAUUCGCGGCGAUUCGAUUGUCUAGUUCCAUUUAUUUUGAACUAUUGUUUGUGUAUCGCUCUCGUGGAAGUUGCGUAUCACGUUCGCUUCGUGUCGUUUUUCUUCUCGUUCCCUAUACGUGUGAUCACGUCCAUCAUCCCACACGGGAAGAUUCUUUACACUUGGAAAAAAAACAAAUAUUGGCUUUAUAUGAAAAGUCAGCCAACAGUCUACAUCCAAGAAUCCUAGGAUUGACUGCAUCAAUUGUGACUAACAUAUGCAAGCCAAUAGAACUAUUCCAAUUGACAACUAUUGGGGAAAACAAAUUGCAGUCAGCUAUUUACUUUCAAACAAUGUUUUAUCAGCAUUACGCGCUAGGACGGAAAUCCCGCCCCAAUUAUGGCCGUCCAUUGGAGCACCACCUUCGUCGCCGGAUAUAAAAGGGGCGACUUUGCACACCUGUGUGGCUUUUUGAUUAAUUGGUUAGGGCAGUUAGUUGCAGUUGUGUCAUUAAACCCUUUUGGUAAAAUACACAUUAUCUUUUAAUCUGAA